GACAGGAUGCUUCCGAAAUACAAUGUCCCCUGUCACUCUACAGAAAAUAGAACAACUAUUAUGAGCGAGCAAGACUAAAAAAGUAAAGGGAAUUGACUUGGAUGAUUCUGCUAUUUGAAAUGGUUUCUCACAUGAAAAGCAAUGACUAUUAGGGAGGAGAAUCCACCUUGCUCAAUGAUAAGACACGGGGCAUAAAAAUGUAUUUUAGGAAGAAGUAUAGGAGAUCGUUAGCUUGUUUGUAUAGGAGAUCGUUAGCUUGUUUGUAUAGGAGAUCAUUACCUAAUAUAGAUAUGCUUAUUGUAUUUUUACAAUAACUUGCAGUUGAGACAGAUCUUCAAUCAGGGGCACAAUAUAAAUAUGAGGGCAGAGAAUCUUCAAAGGUUAGAAAUUGAGCUAAGGUAUUGAGGCAUUGCACAAUCAUAGGCUGUGAUGGCACCCUUCUAAGGAGUCAAAAUUUGUUCUGUUUGUUUACUUUGAGCCUCACGUCAAGAGGCAUGUAUUGUUAUAUGUUCAUGUAGCAUGCUUUGAAAUAUAAUAUAGUUUUUGUUAUCAAUUCUUUCAAAAUUCUAUUUGUUGUUUGCAGGAAAGGACUUAGCAGAGCAUUGUAGAAAUGAAUAUUCUCGGGGGCCCAACUUUAUACUUUGGUUUAUUGCUGAAAUUGCUAUAGUGACCGCUGACAUUCCUGAAGUAAUUGGUACAGCCUUUGCAUUGAACAUGCUCUUCAACAUACCUGUUUGGAUUGGUGUUAUUCUGACACGAUUCAGCACAUUGUUCCUCUUAGCAUUACAGCAACAUGGGGUAGUUUUCUAUAUUCCAUACAACCCUCUCCCUAGGGUUACCUGAUAUCAUGCUAUGGUUUGAAAGGAUGCACGUAAAUUGUUAUAUCCUGAACAAAUCUACGGUUGUCCUUCCAUAUAUGCUAUUAAGACUUUGGAGAAUUUGAAGUCUGCUAUUAAGACUACUAAGAGGCUCUGUGCUGUUAUGUUGCACACGGUUGGUGCAGAGAUGCAGGUUGUUAACAAAAGUGAGACGCCUAUUUCACUUCAGGCUGACGAUCAGGUUGUUCUAACUCCUGACUAAGGACAAGAAGCCACUUCAAAGAUACUGCAUAUCAAUUUUGAUGGACUAGCCAAGGUUCAUUAAAGUUUUCAACCUUCUUAUGAUAUCACGUGACUGACUUGAUUUCGUGUACAGUAUUUCUAUGAAUAUUAUUAACCCGAAUGAUUUAUUUUAGUCAAUUGUACUCUCUGCUGCCUAUG
Long non-coding RNA from Gastrolobium bilobum, 1259 nucleotides. RefSeq lists it as uncharacterized. Lineage: Eukaryota; Viridiplantae; Streptophyta; Magnoliopsida; Fabales; Fabaceae. The transcript is spliced from 6 exons. The record is from RefSeq and is a predicted model, not a curated record.